UGAGUAACGAAAACAUUGGUGAGAAUCCAAUGCCCCAAAAACCCAAGGUUUCCUCCGCAAGGUUCGUCCACGGAGGGUGAGUCAGGGCCUAAGAUCAGGCCGAAAGGCGUAGUCGAUGGACAACAGGUCAAUAUUCCUGUACUACCCCUUGUUGGUACGGAGGGACGGAGGAGGCUAGGUUAGCCGAAAGAUGGUUAUAGGUUUAAGGACACAAGGUGACCCUGCUUUUUCAGGGUAAGAAGGGGUAGAGAAAAUGCCUCGAGCCGCCUCACGGUAUCCAAGUUGAAAGGGAUAAGUUGAACAAGUAUGGUCGUCCUUUAUUGGGAUGUACUAUUAAACCAAAAUUGGGAUUAUCCGCAAAAAAUUGGGGGCUUCGCGGUUGAAU
Molecule: non-coding RNA, 385 nt
Filed under: Setaria italica (foxtail millet)
Lineage: Eukaryota; Viridiplantae; Streptophyta; Magnoliopsida; Poales; Poaceae
Description: Bacterial large subunit ribosomal RNA
Rfam family: Bacterial large subunit ribosomal RNA
Source: Rfam by way of RNAcentral